This 301-nucleotide ribosomal RNA is filed under the name uncultured bacterium. RNAcentral's name for it is "partial 16S ribosomal RNA". It matches the Rfam family "Bacterial small subunit ribosomal RNA", at positions 509 to 807 of the family's 1533-position model. The record is from RNAcentral.
CAGCCGCCACGGUAAUACGUAGGGUGCGAGCGUUAAUCGGAAUUACUGGGCGUAAAGCGUGCGCAGGCGGUUCGUUAAGACAGAUGUGAAAUCCCCGGGCUUAACCUGGGAACUGCAUUUGUGACUGGCGAGCUAGAGUAUGGCAGAGGGGGGUAGAAUUCCACGUGUAGCAGUGAAAUGCGUAGAGAUGUGGAGGAAUACCGAUGGCGAAGGCAGCCCCCUGGGCCGAUACUGACGCUCAUGCACGAAAGCGUGGGGAGCAAACAGGAUUAGAUACCCCGGUAGUCCCUGUCUCUUAUAC